RNAcentral lists this long non-coding RNA (772 nucleotides) under Marmota monax (woodchuck). Lineage: Eukaryota; Metazoa; Chordata; Mammalia; Rodentia; Sciuridae. The record is from RNAcentral.
CUUCAGAGCCCCGCGUCACGCGGUAGCUGCCGGGGCGCGGCCCGGGAGCCCGGAGCCCGGGCCCGAGGACGUGAUGAGCUCCAGGGCCCGCGAGGGAGUGCGCACCCCGCGCAGCAGCCCCACCCCGCACUAGAACUGGCGGGGCUGGGGGCGCGCGUUCGAGGAGUGGACCGACUGGCGUUAAAGGGGAGGCGAGGGGCCGUCCCCUGGGCCUCCGCGCGACCUCCGCCCCGUGAGAGAAGACCUCGCCGAGUGCGGGACUCAGUCCUGAAAUGCUCGUGGCUGAUGGCCGUCCGUCAGGCCGAUGCCAGAACUGGAGUGCUGCGAGGGUGGCUCCAAACUCGCCAUUUUGGGUGCGACAACUCCUUGCUGGCUUUCUUUUUCAGUUCCUCGGGCUAGACAGGCGUGCCUGUUGGGUGGCUUCGGUGUGGGCCUCGACUCUUGGUCUCUAAAAGCACCGGGGCUGCUCUUCCUCCCUUCGCAGGUGAAUCCAGCUGUGCAGUCCCGCCCCCAGAUGCCCUGCUCCGCAGUCUGGCCUCCGGGCCUCGGGUGGGUCUGUGAGGUCCGUCCAGGCUUCCCUGCAUCUCCUGAACCGCAGUGCCUGAGACCGAACCUCGUUCUUGAGAUGCGCUUUGAAAAAUACCUGGCAGUAUGAUGUAGUGCUGUUUUUUAUGUGGAUUUAGUUGGGCAUCAAAUUUUAUUUGUUUUUUUAAAACAUCAGUGAUAUUCUUUUUUGCAUAAACUGAAUGAAUUAGAUUAAUGCUGUUCUUAU